RNAcentral lists this ribosomal RNA (501 nucleotides) under uncultured bacterium. Its description in RNAcentral is "partial 16S ribosomal RNA". It matches the Rfam family "Bacterial small subunit ribosomal RNA", at positions 29 to 523 of the family's 1533-position model. The record is from RNAcentral.
AUUGAACGCUGGCGGCAUGCCUUACACAUGCAAGUCGAACGGCAGCACGGGGGCUUGCACCUGGUGGCGAGUGGCGAACGGGUGAGUAAUACAUCGGAACGUACCUUACCGUGGGGGGUAACGCAGCGAAAGCUGUGCUAGUAACGCAUACGCCCUGAGGGGGAAAGCGGGGGAUGGCAAGACCUGGCGCGAGUAGAACGGCCGAGGCCGGAUUAGCUUGUUGGUGGGGUAAGAGCCCACCAAGGCGACGAUCAGUCGCUGGUCGGGGAGGACGAUCAGCCACACUGGGCCUGAGCCACGGCCAAGACUCCUACGGGAGGCAGCAGUGGGGAAUUUUGGACAAUGGGGGCAACCCUGCUCCGGCAAUGCCGCGUGAGUGAAGAAGGCCUUCGGUUUGUAAAGCUCUUUUGUCAGGGAAGAAACACCGGCUCUAACACAGUCUGGGAAUGACGGUACCUGAAGAAUAAGCACCGGCUAACUACGUGCCAGCAGCCGCCGUAA